GAAAUGCGAUAACUAGUGUGAAUUGCAGAAUUCCGUGAAUCAUCGAGUCUUUGAACGCACAUUGCGCCCCUGGUAUUCCGGGGGGCAUGCCUGUCCGAGCGUCAUUGCUGCCCAUCAAGCACGGCUUGUGUGUUGGGUCGUCGUCCCCUCUCCGGGGGGGACGGGCCCCAAAGGCAGCGGCGGCACCGCGUCCGAUCCUCGAGCGUAUGGGGCUUUGUCACCCGCUCUGUAGGCCCGGCCGGCGCUUGCCGAACGCAUAUCAAUCUUUUUCCAGGUUGACCUCGGAUCAGGUAGGGAUACCCGCUGAACUUAAGC
Molecule: unclassified non-coding RNA, 315 nt
Filed under: plant metagenome
Description: partial contains 5.8S ribosomal RNA, internal transcribed spacer 2, and large subunit ribosomal RNA
Rfam family: 5.8S ribosomal RNA (bases 1-104)
Source: RNAcentral